Molecule: ribosomal RNA, 95 nt
Filed under: uncultured bacterium
Lineage: Bacteria
Description: partial 16S ribosomal RNA
Source: RNAcentral
CACCGCCCGUCACACCAUGGGAGUCAGUUGCUCCAGAAACGGCCGCGCCAACCGCAAGGAGGGCGACUACCACGGUGAGAUUCAUGACUGGGGUG